UACGUAGGGUGCAAGCGUUAAUCGGAAUUACUGGGCGUAAAGCGUGCGCAGGCGGCUAUGCAAGACAGAUGUGAAAUCCCCGGGCUCAACCUGGGAACUGCAUUUGUGACUGCAUGGCUAGAGUACGGCAGAGGGGGAUGGAAUUCCGCGUGUGGCAGUGAAAUGCGUAGAUAUGCGGAGGAACACCGAUGGCGAAGGCAAUCCCCUGGGCCUGUACUGACGCUCAUGCACGAAAGCGUGGGGAGCAAACAGG
RNAcentral lists this ribosomal RNA (253 nucleotides) under uncultured bacterium. RNAcentral's name for it is "partial 16S ribosomal RNA". It matches the Rfam family "Bacterial small subunit ribosomal RNA", at positions 524 to 776 of the family's 1533-position model. The record is from RNAcentral.